Molecule: ribosomal RNA, 946 nt
Filed under: uncultured soil bacterium
Lineage: Bacteria
Description: bacterial SSU rRNA
Rfam family: Bacterial small subunit ribosomal RNA
Source: RNAcentral
AGUCGAACGGCAGCACGGGCUUCGGCCUGGUGGCGAGUGGCGAACGGGUGAGUAAUACAUCGGAACGUGCCCUGUAGUGGGGGAUAACUAGUCGAAAGAUUAGCUAAUACCGCAUAUGACCUGAGGGUGAAAGCGGGGGACCGCAAGGCCUCGCGCUACAGGAGCGGCCGAUGUCUGAUUAGCUAGUUGGUGGGGUAAAAGCCUACCAAGGCGACGAUCAGUAGCUGGUCUGAGAGGACGAUCAGCCACACUGGGACUGAGACACGGCCCAGACUCCUACGGGAGGCAGCAGUGGGGAAUUUUGGACAAUGGGGGCAACCCUGAUCCAGCAAUGCCGCGUGUGUGAAGAAGGCCUUCGGGUUGUAAAGCACUUUUGUCCGGAAAGAAAUGGCUCUGGUUAAUACCCGGGGUCGAUGACGGUACCGGAAGAAUAAGCACCGGCUAACUACGUGCCAGCAGCCGCGGUAAUACGUAGGGUGCGAGCGUUAAUCGGAAUUACUGGGCGUAAAGCGUGCGCAGGCGGUUUUGUAAGACAGGCGUGAAAUCCCCGAGCUCAACUUGGGAAUGGCGCUUGUGACUGCAAGGCUAGAGUAUGUCAGAGGGGGGUAGAAUUCCACGUGUAGCAGUGAAAUGCGUAGAGAUGUGGAGGAAUACCGAUGGCGAAGGCAGCCCCCUGGGACGUCACUGACGCUCAUGCACGAAAGCGUGGGGAGCAAACAGGAUUAGAUACCCUGGUAGUCCACGCCCUAAACGAUGUCAACUAGUUGUUGGGGAUUCAUUUCUUCAGUAACGUAGCUAACGCGUGAAGUUGACCGCCUGGGGAGUACGGUCGCAAGAUUAAAACUCAAAGGAAUUGACGGGGACCCGCACAAGCGGUGGAUGAUGUGGAUUAAUUCGAUGCAACGCGAAAAACCUUACCUACCCUUGACAUGCCACUAACGAAGCA